Molecule: ribosomal RNA, 486 nt
Filed under: uncultured Lachnospiraceae bacterium
Lineage: Bacteria; Bacillati; Bacillota; Clostridia; Lachnospirales; Lachnospiraceae
Description: partial 16S ribosomal RNA
Source: RNAcentral
CACGUAGUUAGCCGGGGCUUCUUAGUCAGGUACCGUCAUUUUCUUCCCUGCUGAUAGAGCUUUACAUACCGAAAUACUUCUUCACUCACGCGGCGUCGCUGCAUCAGGGUCCCCCCCAUUGUGCAAUAUUCCCCACUGCUGCCUCCCGUAGGAGUUUGGGCCGUGUCUCAGUCCCAAUGUGGCCGGUCACCCUCUCAGGCCGGCUACUGAUCGUCGCCUUGGUGGGCCUCUACCCCGCAACUAGCUAAUCAGACGCGGGUCCAUCGUAUACCGUUUACGCUUUUCACACUGCUCCAUGCGAAGCUGUGCGCUUAUGCGGUAUUAGCACCUAUUUCUAAGUGUUAUCCCCCUGUAUACGGCAGGUUACCCACGCGUUACUCACCCGUCCGCCACUAAAACAAAAUCACUAGUUCAUUCUGUUCCCGUUCGACUUGCAUGUGUUAGCACGCCGCCAGCGUUCAUCCUGACGCCAGGACUACAAACUCU